AAUCAACGCUGGCGGCGUGCCUAACACAUGCAAGUCGAACGCGAAAGCCCCGCAAGGGGUGAGUAGAGUGGCGAACGGGUGAGUAACGCGUGGGUGACCUACCUUUGCGUGGGGGAUAACGUCUCGAAAGGGACGCUAAUACCGCAUAACAUCCCGCCUUUGGAUAGGUGGAGAUCAAAGCCGGGGACCGCAAGGCCUGGCGCGUAAUGAGGGGCCCACGUCCGAUUAGCUAGUUGGUGGGGUAANGGCCUACCAAGGCUACGAUCGGUAGCCGGCCUGAGAGGGCGGACGGCCACACUGGGACUGAGACACGGCCCAGACUCCUACGGGAGGCAGCAGUGGGGAAUUGUUCGCAAUGGGCGCAAGCCUGACGACGCAACGCCGCGUGGAGGACGAAGAAUUUCGGUUCGUAAACUCCUGUCGAGCGGGACGAACAUCAUCGGGGUGAACAGCCUCAGUGACUGACGGUACCGCGAGAGGAAGCCCCGGCUAACUCCGU
This 499-nucleotide ribosomal RNA is filed under the name uncultured bacterium. Its description in RNAcentral is "bacterial SSU rRNA". It matches the Rfam family "Bacterial small subunit ribosomal RNA", at positions 29 to 506 of the family's 1533-position model. The record is from RNAcentral.